GACGAGGGGUGCGAACGUUAUUCGGAAUGAUUGGGCGUAAAGGGUGCGUAGGCGGCUUAUUAAGUCAACUGUUAAAUUUCUCAGCCUAACUGAGAGUCUGCGGUAGAAACUGAUAAGCUUGAGGAUGGAAGAGAGAAGUAGAAUUCUCGGAGUAGCGGUAAAAUGCGUAGAUCUCGAGAGGAACACCGAUGGCGAAGGCAGCUUCUUGGUCCAUUUCUGACGCUGAGGCACGAAAGCGUGGGGAGCAAACAGG
This 253-nucleotide ribosomal RNA is filed under the name uncultured bacterium. Its description in RNAcentral is "partial 16S ribosomal RNA". It matches the Rfam family "Bacterial small subunit ribosomal RNA", at positions 524 to 776 of the family's 1533-position model. The record is from RNAcentral.